AACGAACGCUGGCGGCAUGCCUAACACAUGCAAGUCGAACGAAGGCUUCGGCCUUAGUGGCGCACGGGUGCGUAACGCGUGGGAAUCUGCCCUUGGGUUCGGAAUAACGUCGGGAAACUGACGCUAAUACCGGAUGAUGACGUAAGUCCAAAGAUUUAUCGCCCAAGGAUGAGCCCGCGUCGGAUUAGCUAGUUGGUGAGGUAAAAGCUCACCAAGGCGACGAUCCGUAGCUGGUCUGAGAGGAUGAUCAGCCACACUGGGACUGAGACACGGCCCAGACUCCUACGGGAGGCAGCAGUGGGGAAUAUUGGACAAUGGGCGAAAGCCUGAUCCAGCAAUGCCGCGUGAGUGAUGAAGGCCUUAGGGUUGUAAAGCUCUUUUACCCGGGAUGAUAAUGACCGUACCGGGAGAAUAAGCUCCGGCUAACUCCGU
Molecule: ribosomal RNA, 432 nt
Filed under: uncultured bacterium
Lineage: Bacteria
Description: partial 16S ribosomal RNA
Rfam family: Bacterial small subunit ribosomal RNA
Source: RNAcentral